UACGGAGGGUGCAAGCGUUAUCCGGAUUCACUGGGCUUAAAGGGUGCGUAGGCGGGCAAGUAAGUCAGUGGUGAAAUCUCCGGGCUUAACCCGGAAACUGCCAUUGAUACUAUUUGUCUUGAAUACUGUGGAGGUCAGCGGAAUAUGUCAUGUAGCGGUGAAAUGCUUAGAUAUGACAUAGAACACCAAAUGCGAAGGCAGCUUACUACACAGUAAUUGACACUGAGGCACGAAAGCGUGGGGAGCGAACAGG
This 253-nucleotide ribosomal RNA is filed under the name uncultured bacterium. RNAcentral's name for it is "partial 16S ribosomal RNA". It matches the Rfam family "Bacterial small subunit ribosomal RNA", at positions 524 to 776 of the family's 1533-position model. The record is from RNAcentral.